Molecule: ribosomal RNA, 254 nt
Filed under: uncultured archaeon
Lineage: Archaea
Description: partial 16S ribosomal RNA
Rfam family: Archaeal small subunit ribosomal RNA
Source: RNAcentral
UACCAGCGGCUCAAGUGGGAGCCACAUUUAUUGGGUCUAAAGCAUUCGUAGCCGGUUCUGUAAAUCCCUUGUGAAAUGGUACUGCUCAACGGUAUUACGUGCUAGGGACACUGCAGAACUAGAGACCGGGAGAAGUAGACGGAAUUGUUGGGGAAGCGGUAAAAUGUUAUAAUCCCGACAGGACCACCAACGGCGAAGGCAGUCUACUAGAACGGGUCUGACGGUGAGGGAUGAAAGCUAGGGGAGCAAACCGG